UCGCGCAGCAGCCACAAGGAUACUGCACUCGUUUCUGUUUCGUCUGUGUGUGGCAAUGUCCAAAAACUCUGUAGACGUCGUUCCAAAGGAUCAUUUGGACAGUGAACUGACAAUAAUUGAGGUGGAGAAAUAUUCCUGUCUCUAAAACAUAAAAUCGCAAGAUUAUAAUGAUCGUCUGCUGACGACAGAAGCAUGGAAGAAGGUUUGUGCAGAUGAUGUUGGGGCUGAGAAGUGAAACUCGUUAUCACUGGAUGCACAAAAUGUAAUAGGAAAAGUACAAAAACGGUGGAAAAACAUGCGAGAAAUACAGUGGAAGCCUGAAAGAAUUAACAAACAAAUAAAAAGAGUGGCAGAGCAACGGCUACUAAAAAAACAUAUGACGACUACAGACGGAUGUCUUUCCUGCAAAAAGCCACGGAAUUGAAGCAGACCUCAGAAAAUAUGAAUGAUGCCUCUAUUCCUGAGGAUGAUGAAGCGGAAAAGCAUCAUGAAGACAGUGCACCGCCACCUAGCACUGCUGCUAAGCCUUCCUCUGCUAGAGCAAAUAAAAGGAAACUUCAGAACCCAUUUGAAAGAAAGUUGAUAGAGUAUUGGCGCACAGUUCAACUUGUGCUGUACCACAAAAUGAUCCUGUUGACUUGUUUUUGACCUUUCUUUUGCCUUACUUAAGAGUAAUGACUACCGACGAGAAUCUAGACUUUCAAACCAAAACACUACAAUUAACAAAAUCUUACAGCCGAAAGACUGUAGAGAGCAGCACUGCUACUGACUACUCCAUAAAUACUGCGUCGUCAAGUAUGUCGACAUCGACAAGCACACAAAGCCCUAAACUUGAGAGUCCAAUAACUUAGUAUUCACCAGAUACAGGAAUGACGGAUGAAGACUCGAUCUUGUCAUUUGAAGAAUGUAAAAAGUGAUUUGGCAGCACACAUGAGCUUGUAUGUAAACUCUUUCAUUCUAACCUAGUUUAUGUUAACGUUAAGUAUAUGUUC
Long non-coding RNA from Schistocerca americana (American grasshopper), 992 nucleotides. RefSeq lists it as uncharacterized. The transcript has 3 exons. The record is from RefSeq and is a predicted model, not a curated record. Lineage: Eukaryota; Metazoa; Arthropoda; Insecta; Orthoptera; Acrididae.